GUAUGGAGGGACGGAGAAGGCUAGGCCAGCUUGGCGUUGGUUGUCCAAGUUUAAGGUGGUAGGCUGAAAUCUUAGGUAAAUCCGGGGUUUCAAGGCCGAGAGCUGAUGACGAGUCGUCUUUUAGAUGACGAAGUGGUUGAUGCCAUGCUUCCAAGAAAAGCUUCUAAGCUUCAGGUAACCAGGAACCGUACCCCACCGACACAGGUGGUCGGGUAGAGAAUACCAAGGCGCUUGAGAGAACUCGGGUGAAGGAACUAGGCAAAAUGGCACCGUAACUUCGGGAGAAGGUGCGCCGGCUAGGGUGAAGGAUUUACUCCGUAAGCUCUGGCUGGUCGAAGAUACCAGGCCGCUGCGACUGUUUAUUAAAAACACAGCACUCUGCAAACACGAAAGUGGACGUAUAGGGUGUGACGCCUGCCCGGUGCCGGAAGGUUAAUUGAUGGGGUUAGCGCAAGCGAAGCUCUUGAUCGAAGCCCCGGUAAACGGCGGCCGUAACUAUAACGGUCCUAAGGUAGCGAAAUUCCUUGUCGGGUAAGUUCCGACCUGCACGAAUGGCGUAACGAUGGCGGCGCUGUCUCCACCCGAGACUCAGUGAAAUUGAAAUCGCUGUGAAGAUGCAGUGUAUCCGCGGCUAGACGGAAAGACCCCGUGAACCUUUACUGUAGCUUUGCACUGGACUUUGAGCCUGCUUGUGUAGGAUAGGUGGGAGGCUUUGAAGCGUGGACGCCAGUUCGCGUGGAGCCAUCCUUGAAAUACCACCCUGGCAUGCUUGAGGUUCUAACUCUGGUCCGUAAUCCGGAUCGAGGACAGUGUAUGGUGGGCAGUUUGACUGGGGCGGUCUCCUCCUAAAGAGUAACGGAGGAGUACGAAGGUGCGCUCAGACCGGUCGGAAAUCGGUCGCAGAGUAUAAAGGCAAAAGCGCGCUUGACUGCGAGACAGACACGUCGAGCAGGUACGAAAGUAGGUCUUAGUGAUCCGGUGGUUCUGUAUGGAAGGGCCAUCGCUCAACGGAUAAAAGGUACUCCGGGGAUAACAGGCUGAUACCGCCCAAGAGUUCAUAUCGACGGCGGUGUUUGGCACCUCGAUGUCGGCUCAUCACAUCCUGGGGCUGAAGCCGGUCCCAAGGGUAUGGCUGUUCGCCAUUUAAAGUGGUACGCGAGCUGGGUUUAGAACGUCGUGAGACAGUUCGGUCCCUAUCUGCCGUGGACGUUUGAGAUUUGAGAGGGGCUGCUCCUAGUACGAGAGGACCGGAGUGGACGAACCUCUGGUGUUCCGGUUGUCACGCCAGUGGCAUUGCCGGGUAGCUAUGUUCGGAAAAGAUAACCGCUGAAAGCAUCUAAGCGGGAAACUUGCCUCAAGAUGAGAUCUCACUGGGAACUUGAUUCCCCUGAAGGGCCGUCGAAGACUACGACGUUGAUAGGCUGGGUGUGUAAGCGUUGUGAGGCGUUGAGCUAACCAGUACUAAUUGCCCGUGAGGCUUGAUC
Molecule: ribosomal RNA, 1484 nt
Filed under: metagenome
Description: bacterial LSU rRNA
Rfam family: Bacterial large subunit ribosomal RNA
Source: RNAcentral